Molecule: long non-coding RNA, 1315 nt
Organism: Parus major (Great Tit)
Lineage: Eukaryota; Metazoa; Chordata; Aves; Passeriformes; Paridae
Exons: 6
Source: RefSeq, a predicted model, not a curated record
AUGCUAAACAAAUAUUUCACUUGUUUCACAAAAUAAAUUAAAUGGAUACAAAAGCAAUUCUCUUUCAUCUAUGAUUUCACAAACACAGCAAUUACAGCCUCAUAUUUGCCUCAUGAAACACAUGAUGCUUUCCAUCAUGGAUUUUAGCCUGCAUUAAUCAGGGUACAGUUUUGCCUUCAGUUUUUCCUAUUUUUUUCUGUUAGUUGCAAUUCUUUUUCUCAAAAUAUACAUGUAUGUUGUUUAUUCCCUUUACUGGAAAUAAUCUGCUGACCUUAAAAAAAGAUGGCAAGUAUUCAUAGCCUUCCCUUUUUGCCACCAAAAGAGUUUCUUGAUCAAUUCAUGUCUGUGUCUGUGAGUCUGUAAAAAAAAGAAGGAGUGCAAAUAUGACAAUCUAAUAUGUUUGCACAAGUCUCUCUGUGUGUUUCGUUGCGUGGUUUGUUUUUUUCCUGGGGAGAGCUGUGUUUUAUGGUUCAGUUAUAUUUCCUUUGCCACAGGCAUCCAUUUUGCUCUAAAGGUAAACCUCAGGAUUACUUUCUCUGAAGUCUUCAGGAGCCACUGAAAUGCUAAACACUCGGAAUAACUGGGAGAAGUAGACUUAAGCAAAGCAUGGUAUGAGAUGCCCUUAUGAACCUGUAGGGCUGUUGUUUGAGGAAGACUGAAGCUGCUCGCAGGAGAAUCCAGAAGGGCAUUGCAAAGGUGACCUUAGUACCAACAAAAAGAGUAAGACUUAAAGAUGGACAGUGAAUGUGGAAGAUAGAAAAAUCUGAACAAGAUGAAAGAAGACAGGAGCCUUGAAAAAAACCCAGUCUGUCACAUAUCAGGGGCACAACAUCUGGACAUCAGUAGCAGACAGACUGCCUGUUGUCCUGAUCCAGCUGCUUUCUUCUGGCUCAGCCUGAAAACUCAGGAGAGAGCACAAGUAGGGAUUAAUGAGCUGUUUUCAGGGAAAGCAAAUGCUCCAGGGAAGAUGGCACGGAGGUUUCAGAUAUUCAACAGACCAGCUCCUGCACACUCUCUGUUUAAACCUUCCCAAGUUUAACAACAACUGAGGAUCCAUUUUGCUUGAUCAGGCUCUCAAGAAGGUGCUGAAGUUACUUCCAGCAGCCUGAGAAGGUGCUGGUAUGUAAUGAUAAAAAUACUACACCUGAGCAGACAUUCUGUUUCCUUUUGGAAUAACAGACCAGAUGGCUUGGCUUACAAGACUGACUCAGGCAGCAGUAGCUGCAAUAGAUCUUCAGGUGUUAUAAAUUUUGACACUGUGAUAACCUGAUAUUUGAAAUCUUGCUAUGGUAUUCAGAAAUGUUUAAUAAAGUAA